UACGGGGGGGGCAAGCGUUGUUCGGAAUUACUGGGCGUAAAGGGCUCGUAGGCGGCCAACUAAGUCGGACGUGAAAUCCCCAGGCUCAACCUGGGAACUGCAUCCGAUACUGGAUGGCUUGAAUUCGGGAGAGGGAUGCGGAAUUCCAGGUGUAGCGGUGAAAUGCGUAGAUAUCAGGAGGAACACCGAUGGCGAAGGCAGGUCUCUGGGCAUUAACUGACGCUGAGGAGCGAAAGCGUGGGGAGCGAACAGG
RNAcentral lists this ribosomal RNA (253 nucleotides) under uncultured bacterium. RNAcentral's name for it is "partial 16S ribosomal RNA". It matches the Rfam family "Bacterial small subunit ribosomal RNA", at positions 524 to 776 of the family's 1533-position model. The record is from RNAcentral.